UCGUGUAACGGUGUAUUAUGCUG
Molecule: microRNA, 23 nt
Filed under: Ptychodera flava
Lineage: Eukaryota; Metazoa; Hemichordata; Enteropneusta; Ptychoderidae
Description: Pfl-Novel-3_5p (mature (guide))
Source: RNAcentral